This 229-nucleotide unclassified non-coding RNA is filed under the name Glomus sp. RNAcentral describes it as "partial contains 5.8S ribosomal RNA and internal transcribed spacer 2". The stretch from base 1 to 65 matches the Rfam family "5.8S ribosomal RNA", at positions 84 to 154 of the family's 154-position model. The record is from RNAcentral. Lineage: Eukaryota; Fungi; Glomeromycota; Glomeromycetes; Glomerales; Glomeraceae.
GUGAAUCAUCAAAUUUUUGAACGCAAAUUGCACUCUCCUCGGAGAGUAUGCCUGUUUGAGGGUCAGCCUAUAAAAAUCGACAUCGGUGCUGUUUCGCGGUGGGGGUCGUCGGAAAUUGGGGCAUCUUAAAUCCUUUUGAUUUAAUCGGCUUAAAAUUUUCUUUUUUUUCGAUGAACGUUUGUAAGAUCUAUUUCUUUACACGUUUAAGGUAUCUAUUGUUACUAGUCAG